CCAGGCCAAAGACGUGUCAGGAACAAGCCUAGAACAUGCCUAUACCAAUGGGUACCCAUUCUGCCUCAGAUACAUGCCUAACAUGUAAGAAGCUCAGCUGUUGGAAGGGUCAUGCAAAGCCUGUGAACACCUCUGAACCUUGAAACAAGACAUUCACCAGAGACAGCCAUGAUUGGACCCAGGGACAUCCCUAUGACAUCAAUACCUUGGCAAGAUGAGGGAUCACUAUAUAUUUGUAUUUUACUAAUGGAGGAACAAUAUGAAGAGUGAUGUGUGGUGACUGUCACAUUACAAUAAUAUAAAAUU
Molecule: long non-coding RNA, 306 nt
Organism: Salvelinus namaycush (lake trout)
Lineage: Eukaryota; Metazoa; Chordata; Actinopteri; Salmoniformes; Salmonidae
Exons: 4
Source: RefSeq, a predicted model, not a curated record